Dendronephthya gigantea is the source of this 369-nucleotide long non-coding RNA. RefSeq lists it as uncharacterized. The transcript is spliced from 4 exons. The record is from RefSeq and is a predicted model, not a curated record. NCBI's taxonomy places the organism in Eukaryota, Metazoa, Cnidaria, Anthozoa, Malacalcyonacea, Nephtheidae.
GCAGAUUUGCUCGUUGCAUCUUUCCUUGAAAAAUCUUCAUUCCUUUAUUCUUUCAGCUUGCACAUCCAGUAUUGGACUCAAUAACAAAAACGGACCACCAAUGGGUAGUGGACUUGCUUUUUGCUUUUAACAGUGGUAAUAUUCCCACUUUGAGGCAAUGAAACCCACUUGGACAAAACAACCUGAUUUAGCAAGCCACGAAUUAUUACUGCGUCAGAAGAUCACGUUACUCUGCUUAAUGGAGAUGGCAUUCAAUCGCCCACCAAAUGACCGAUCCUUAUCCUUUAAAGAAAUAGCUACCGAUGCGAGGAUACCAGUAAACGAGGUCUACUGUGUUCAGGGUCUCGAAAUAACGGCCGGUCAACGGAC